This is a long non-coding RNA of Trematomus bernacchii (emerald rockcod), 246 nucleotides long. RefSeq lists it as uncharacterized. The record is from RefSeq and is a predicted model, not a curated record. NCBI's taxonomy places the organism in Eukaryota, Metazoa, Chordata, Actinopteri, Perciformes, Nototheniidae. The transcript is spliced from 3 exons.
CUUCCAAAACUUGUAUAUGGUCUGUGGGAGCGUAAUAACCCCUGACCCAAAUUCAGGAAACUGGCUACAACAUCAACAAACACGACAGAUAAACAUGAUGGGACAUUCCGCCGGUCGUCGUGGAAACGCUGAGAAAGCACAGCUGGGCGGGAGAAUAUGAGACAGGCCAGUGUCAUGGCAGCCAGAUGGAUGGAGUGCAUGGAGUCUGGUCGUUUGUUCAGAGCCCGGACAAACUGGAAGUUGAGG